CUCCGACGCCAGCGCCGCCUCUCGUUCGCCGAGCUCCAGCCGAAGGAGAAGGAGGGGUUGAGGCCGCUCCGCCAUGGCUCGCACCAAGCAGACCGCCCGCAAGUCCACCGGGGGGCCAGGCGCCCAGGAAGCAGCUGGCGAUCAAGGCCUCGCGCAAGAGCGCGCCCUCCACUGGAGGGGUGAAGAAACUGCACCGCUACAGGCCUGGUGCUGUGGCGCUCCGUGAAAUGAGACGCUACCAGAAGUGCACAGAACUUCUGAUUCGCAAGCUCCCUUCCCAGCGUCUGGUGCGAGACAUUGCUCAGGACUUCAAAACAGACCUGCGCUUCCAGAGCGCAGCAGUGGGUGCUUUGCAGGAGGCGAGUGAGGCCUAUCUCGUUGGCCUUUCUGAAGAUACCAAUCUGUGUGCUAUCCAUGCCAAACGUGUGACAAUUAUGCCAAAAGAUAUCCAGCUAGCACGCCACAUACGUGGAGAACGAGCUUAAGAAUCCACUAAAAUGGGAGGCAUUUCAUUGUCAAAGUCCCCCCCCUUUUCUUGUUAUCAGUAGUUCUGAAUGUUAGAUUUUUUUUCCCAUGGGGUCAAAAGGUACCUAAGUAUUGCCAGUGGAAAAAUAGGGGACAGAAAUCAGGUAUUGGCAGUUUUUCCAUUUUCAUUUGUGUGUGAAUUUUUAAUAUAACUGUGGGGAUAUAAAGCAUUAAUGCAAGUCAAAAUGUUUCAGCAGUUCAACUUUAUAACAAUUAUGAAUCUGUUAAAUUUUUCUGGACAAUGCCAGCAUUUGGAUUUUUUUAAAAAUAAGUAAAUUUCUUAUUGAUGGUAA
Molecule: RNA transcript, 818 nt
Organism: Dipodomys ordii (Ord's kangaroo rat)
Lineage: Eukaryota; Metazoa; Chordata; Mammalia; Rodentia; Heteromyidae
Gene name: histone H3.3-like
Exons: 1
Source: RefSeq, a predicted model, not a curated record